UACGUAGGGAGCGAGCGUUGUCCGGAUUCCUUGGGCGUAAAGAGCUCGUAGGCGGCUUGGCAAGUCGGGUGUGAAAACUCCAGGCUCAACCUGGAGACGCCACCCGAUACUGCCAUGGCUAGAGUCCGGUAGGGGACCACGGAAUUCCUGGUGUAGCGGUGAAAUGCGCAGAUAUCAGGAGGAACACCGGUGGCGAAGGCGGUGGUCUGGGCCGGAACUGACGCUGAGGAGCGAAAGCGUGGGGAGCGAACAGG
This 254-nucleotide ribosomal RNA is filed under the name uncultured bacterium. RNAcentral's name for it is "partial 16S ribosomal RNA". It matches the Rfam family "Bacterial small subunit ribosomal RNA", at positions 524 to 776 of the family's 1533-position model. The record is from RNAcentral.